Molecule: ribosomal RNA, 250 nt
Filed under: uncultured bacterium
Lineage: Bacteria
Description: partial 16S ribosomal RNA
Rfam family: Bacterial small subunit ribosomal RNA
Source: RNAcentral
AACGAACGUUGGCGGCGUGGAUUAGGCAUGCAAGUCGAACGAAUGUCAGUUUUGUAGCAAUACAGAGCUGGCGGAAGUGGCGAAAGGGGCAGUAAUGCAUGGGUAACCUACCUUGGGGAUGGGCAUAGCCGUUCUAACGAGCGGGUAAUUCCCAGAGAUUCGGCGGGAGGGCAUCCUUCUACCGGGAAAUGAGUUUCGCCUCGAGAGGGGCCCAUGUGCUAUUAGCUAGUUGGGGGUAACGGCCUACCAA